CAGUAGCCGCGGGAAUACGUAGGGUGCAAGCGUUAAUCGGAAUUACUGGGCGUAAAGCGUGCGCAGGCGGUUUGUUAAGACAGAUGUGAAAUCCCCGGGCUCAACCUGGGAACUGCACUUGUGACUGUAGAGCUCGAGUACGGUAGAGGGGGAUGGAAUUCCGCGUGUAGCAGUGAAAUGCGUAGAUAUGCGGAGGAACACCGAUGGCGAAGGCAAUCCCCUGGACCUGUACUGACGCUCAUGCACGAAAGCGUGGGGAGCAAACAGGAUUAGAUACCCGAGUAGUCCCUGUCUCUUAUAA
RNAcentral lists this ribosomal RNA (301 nucleotides) under uncultured bacterium. RNAcentral describes it as "partial 16S ribosomal RNA". It matches the Rfam family "Bacterial small subunit ribosomal RNA", at positions 509 to 809 of the family's 1533-position model. The record is from RNAcentral.